This 2210-nucleotide small RNA is filed under the name Caenorhabditis elegans. RNAcentral's name for it is "Unclassified non-coding RNA T05H4.17". Lineage: Eukaryota; Metazoa; Nematoda; Chromadorea; Rhabditida; Rhabditidae. The record is from RNAcentral.
GAUCAAUUUCCGCGGGCCACAAGGAAAUAUUGUUUACAAAGGUCACGGAUUGUUCAGCAUCAAAGCCGAUAAGAAGGCCGAGCCGAAGAAUCGAGUUUUCAAGCAUCUUUCCAUGAUUGCUGGAGGAACCGGAAUCACACCAAUGCUUCAAGUCAUUGCUGCCAUUCUUCGUGAUCCAACUGACACCACUCAGAUCAGACUUUUGUUUGCAAAUCAGACUGAGGACGAUAUUCUGUGCAGACAGGAACUUGACGAUCUUGCAAAGGAGCAUCCAACUCGUUUCCGUGUAUGGUAUACAGUCGAUAGACCACCAGUGAUGUGGAGCUAUUCCUCUGGAUUCAUCAAUGACAGCAUGAUCAAGGUGAGAAAAAAAGCUGAAACAUGUUUUCUGAAAUUGUAUAAUUUAUUUUCAGGAAAACCUCUUCCCACCUGGCGAUGAUUCUGCUGUUCUCUUGUGCGGACCACCACCAAUGAUCAACUUUGCUUGCAUUCCGAACCUUGAGAAGCUCGAAUACGACCCAGCAAAUCGUCUUCUCUUCUAGAUCAAUCAGGAUCCCCAACUACUUUCUGUGUUAUUAAUUAGUUUCAUCGCCAUUCUCAAUGUUCAUGUAUUUGACUACAAUAGUAAACCUUUUUCUAACAUAUUCCAAUUUUGAAAAGAAGACGAUGCAUUUCAAAAGCUAAGAAUCAAACUACCAGUUCGUUAGGAGCCAGAUUUUGUCAGCACUAUGAGAGAGCGGUCAUCUUAAGAGAGAUGUGAGUGGGACAAAUUAAAAAGCGACUACAAAAAUCACUUUUGAAACUAGUUUACACACUUUUACUGAGAGACAACCUACACACACACGCACUUGAUGACUUCAGUGUCUCCUCAUUUUUGUGUCAUUUUGUAUUUAUUUUUAAUGUUCGAUUUUUUUUCUAUAUUUCGUUUUGAAAUCCUCAAAAACUCCAGUUCUGUUCCUAUUUUAGAGAGAAAAUGCAAAAUAUCCAAAAAUUUACACAUUUAAAAGUAUAAAAUCCAAUAUUAAACGCAGGCAUUUAUUUUAUACAAUCUGAAAUUUAUUGAAGUGCAAUUAAAACUGGCAGAAUUCUCAACAAAAAUGCUAUUACCUAGACGCGAAAUUUUACAAUUUGGCGCCAAAACUACGGUACAAGGUCUCAACACGAUAAUUUUUUGGUUAAGUUCAAAUAGGUACGCGUCUUUAAAAAGUACUGUACUUUCAAACUAACUGGAUUUUUUUACUCGUUUUGUUUUCAAAAGUUUUUCGUAGUAAAACUAUGAAUUAAUCUAAAAACAAAAUUCUAACAAGUUUUGAGAAAUUAAAUAUAAAUAUAAAAACGCAGCAAAAUGAGAGUUUCAAGUUACAGUACUCUUUAAAGGCGCACACGUUUUCGCAUUCGAUGAAUACUUGUCGUGUCGGUACCGUAUUUUUGAGCAAAAAUCAUUAAUUUUCGAGUUUGAUUAAUAUGAUAAAUAUUUUCGACGGGACCAGUUUGAAAAAUGCAUGCGCCUUUCAGUAGUUGUCCAUACAGCUGCGAAACAAUAAUAAUUCCAAAUGAGUUGGUUAUUUUAAUAUUAUAUCCCGAUUAGGAGACGAAAAAACAAAGUAUUUUUUUCUGAUUCUUUUCUUUUCGACCUUUUAAAUCGAAAAUUAAUUAAUAUUUUAGGCCAUUUCAAUCUCGACACUUUUUUUGAAAUGGUUGAGAACAAUACACUUGCGAUAACUGGAGGCGUGGUACUUAUUUCAAGUGUUUCUCUAUUUUUGUAUUUGAGACAACUCAGGGCUGAAAAAGUGAGUCUUCCAUUCUUUUUAUUUCCUAAUACAAAAAAGUUUAGAAAUCAAAAAGAACGCUUGAAGACGAUUCGGUCAAAUAUUUGCUUCCUCUCAUAGAAAAGUUCGAGAUCAGUCACAAUACGAGAAAAUUCCGAUUCGGAUUACCAUCGAAGGAUCAUAUUCUAGGACUUCCCAUUGGACAUCAUGUGUAUCUUAGUGCCAAUGUAUGUUUUCUUCAGAUGAUAUAAUUAAUUAUUUUAAAAUAAUUUCCAGAUUGGUGGAAAGCUUAUAGUUCGAUCCUAUACCCCAGUGUCUUGUGACUUAGACUUGGGAUAUGUAGAUUUGAUGGUUAAAGUGUAUUUUAAGAAUACACAUGAAAGAUUCCCGGAUGGUGGGAAAAUGAGCCAACAUUUGGAGAGCCUCAAGAUUGGAGAUACU